This 73-nucleotide transfer RNA is filed under the name Stegodyphus mimosarum. It matches the Rfam family "tRNA". From Rfam's summary of the family: Transfer RNA (tRNA) molecules are approximately 80 nucleotides in length. Their secondary structure includes four short double-helical elements and three loops (D, anti-codon, and T loops). Further hydrogen bonds mediate the characteristic L-shaped molecular structure. tRNAs have two regions of fundamental functional importance: the anti-codon, which is responsible for specific mRNA codon recognition, and the 3' end, to which the tRNAs corresponding amino acid is attached (by aminoacyl-tRNA synthetases). tRNAs cope with the degeneracy of the genetic code in two manners: having more than one tRNA (with a specific anti-codon) for a particular amino acid; and 'wobble' base-pairing, i.e. permitting non-standard base-pairing at the 3rd anti-codon position. Lineage: Eukaryota; Metazoa; Arthropoda; Arachnida; Araneae; Eresidae. The record is from Rfam by way of RNAcentral.
GCCUGCAUAGUGUAGUGGUGAGCACGCUCGGCGCUUAUUCGAGAGGUCCGUGGUUCGAGUCCCGGCGGGGGCA